CCUAAUAAUAUCAGUAGGAGAAACGCGGCCAUUGCAGAUACAGAUCACAAGAAAUCAACAUAGAACUCAAGCCAACAACCUAGCUCUCAACAGGCGAAAUAUGGAUCCUGCAGAGAGGGUGGUGAAGGCGUCAUGGUACAAGGGUACUGUCGUGACUCAUAGGCCGAAGCCUGUUUCACCCAUCGUUAACCAAGGCAAGAACAAGAACAAGCAACCCAAGAAGCCCAAACCUGCGCCCAAGAAGUGAGCUUGAUUGCCCUGAUGCCUGCCUAUGCUACAGUUAGGGGUUUGUGAUUUCAUGAUUCAGUUCAGGCUUGAGCUGAACACUGAUACUGAAGAGUGCUUGGAUACAGUUUAAUUGGUUCUCUCUGCCCAAACAUGCCUGCGCCCUGCCUAGAGGAUGCCGGAUGUAUGUGUGCUGUAAGAAUAAAAUGAUUUGAGAUUGCUGCUCUGUAAUGUUCAUGCAGGCCUGGUUGAAAUUUUGGGAAUAAUAAAUUGUUUCUGAAAAUAAA
This is a long non-coding RNA of Oryza brachyantha (malo sina), 512 nucleotides long. RefSeq lists it as uncharacterized. The transcript has 2 exons. Lineage: Eukaryota; Viridiplantae; Streptophyta; Magnoliopsida; Poales; Poaceae. The record is from RefSeq and is a predicted model, not a curated record.